Molecule: non-coding RNA, 617 nt
Organism: Arachis ipaensis
Lineage: Eukaryota; Viridiplantae; Streptophyta; Magnoliopsida; Fabales; Fabaceae
Source: RefSeq, a predicted model, not a curated record
GGGAAUACAGAAUCUCAUUGUUGAAAUGUCAUGUAAGACUUUCUUUCUACCAACAAGUCAUUAUUAAUGAUAGUAAUUCUGAUGCAUGAACUUAAUUAUAAUUGACCUUGUCACAUUGCAGCUGUUACUGAUAUUGACACAAGUGGCAUCCAUGCCUUUGAAGAAUUAUACAAGUCCCUUCAGAAAAGAGAAGUUCAGCUUAUAUUGGCGAAUCCGGGGCCAGUUGUAAUAGAGAAGCUCCAUGCAUCCAAGCUUACCGAUCUAAUUGGAGAAGAUAAAAUAUUUCUCACAGUGGCUGAUGCUGUUGCAACUUUUGGUCCAAAGGGUGUUAAAUAAAACAUAUCUGUUUCAAGAUCAAAUUCAAGUGUUGAUUGAAGCCACGGUUAUAAUUAAGAUGCUACAAAUACAAACGGGUGGGGAUUAGUAUAAUAUUGUUUAAUAUAUAGUCUUAUAGGGAAUUAUUAUUAGUCACCUUGAUCUGUCUUCUAUGUAGUUUCAUUUAAUUUUGUUUGUCUUUGAUUUUACAUAUAGUCCCAAUUAAUGUAUAGAAACAAAAUUACAUGUUCUGUUUUUCAACUGGUAGUUGUGAUUUACAAUACAAUAUACUUUAAGGUUGC